GACGAACGCUGGCGGCGUGCCUAAUACAUGCAAGUUGAGCGCUGAAGGUUGGUACUUGUACCAACUGGAUGAGCAGCGAACGGGUGAGUAACGCGUGGGUAAUCUGCCUUUGAGCGGGGGACAACAUUUGGAAACGAAUGCUAAUACCGCAUAAAAACUUUAAACACAAGUUUUAAGUUUGAAAGAUGCAAUUGCAUCACUCAAAGAUGAUCCCGCGUUGUAUUAGCUAGUUGGUGAGGUAAAGGCUCACCAAGGCGAUGAUACAUAGCCGACCUGAGAGGGUGAUCGGCCACAUUGGGACUGAGACACGGCCCAAACUCCUACGGGAGGCAGCAGUAGGGAAUCUUCGGCAAUGGACGAAAGUCUGAACGAGAAACGCCGCGUGAGGGAAGAAGGUUGUCGGAUCGUAAAACUCUGUUGGUAGAGAAGAACGUUGGUGAGAGUGGAAAGCUCAUCAAGUGACGGUAACUACCCAGAAAGGGACGGCUAACUACGUG
This 497-nucleotide ribosomal RNA is filed under the name uncultured bacterium. RNAcentral describes it as "partial 16S ribosomal RNA". It matches the Rfam family "Bacterial small subunit ribosomal RNA", at positions 28 to 507 of the family's 1533-position model. The record is from RNAcentral.